This 226-nucleotide ribosomal RNA is filed under the name uncultured bacterium. RNAcentral describes it as "partial 16S ribosomal RNA". It matches the Rfam family "Bacterial small subunit ribosomal RNA", at positions 113 to 334 of the family's 1533-position model. The record is from RNAcentral.
CGACGUAGGCAACCUGCCUUGUAGCGGGGGAUAACUAUUGGAAACGAUAGCUAAUACCGCAUAACAAUGGAUGACCCAUGUCAUUUAUUUGAAAGGGGCAAAUGCUCCACUACAAGAUGGACCUGCGUUGUAUUAGCUAGUAGGUGAGGUAACGGCUCACCUAGGCGACGAUACAUAGCCGACCUGAGAGGGUGAUCGGCCACACUGGGACUGAGACACGGCCCAG